RNAcentral lists this ribosomal RNA (273 nucleotides) under uncultured bacterium. RNAcentral's name for it is "partial 16S ribosomal RNA". It matches the Rfam family "Bacterial small subunit ribosomal RNA", at positions 524 to 796 of the family's 1533-position model. The record is from RNAcentral.
UACGAAGGGGGCUAGCGUUGUUCGGAUUUACUGGGCGUAAAGCGCACGUAGGCGGAUCAUUAAGUCAGGGGUGAAAUCCUGGAGCUCAACUCCAGAACUGCCUUUGAUACUGGUGAUCUUGAGUCCGGAAGAGGUGAGUGGAACUCCUAGUGUAGAGGUGGAAUUCGUAGAUAUUAGGAAGAACACCAGUGGCGAAGGCGGCUCACUGGUCCGGUACUGACGCUGAGGUGCGAAAGCGUGGGGAGCAAACAGGAUUAGAUACCCCGGUAGUCC